GACGUAGGAUGCAAGCGUUGUCCGGAUUUAUUGGGCGUAAAGAGUUCGUAGGCGGUCCGUUAAGUCUGAUGUUAAAGAUCGGGGCUCAACCCUGGGAGUGCAUUGGAUACUGGCGGACUGGAGUGCGGUAGAGGCUAGUGGAAUUCCCAGUGUAGCGGUGAAAUGCGUAGAUAUCGGAAGGAACACCAGUGGCGAAAGCGGCUUCCUGGUCCAGCACCGACGUUCAGGCACGAAAGCGUGGGGAGCAAACAGG
This 253-nucleotide ribosomal RNA is filed under the name uncultured bacterium. RNAcentral's name for it is "partial 16S ribosomal RNA". It matches the Rfam family "Bacterial small subunit ribosomal RNA", at positions 524 to 776 of the family's 1533-position model. The record is from RNAcentral.